CGAUUCUGGCUCAGGAUGAACGCUGGCGGCGCGCUUAACACAUGCAAGUCGAACGGUUAAAGCCCCUUCGGGGGUGCAUAAAGUGGCGAACGGCUGAGUAACACGUGGGCAACCUGCCCCCCGCACCGGGAUAGCCUCGGGAAACCGUGGGUAAUACCGGAUACUCCCUCCCUGCCGCAUGGCUGGGAGGGGAAAUGCGUACACGGCGGGGGAUGGGCCCGCGGCCUGUUAGCUCGUUGGCGGGGUAACGGCCCACCAAGGCGAUUAUGGGUAGCCGGGUUGAGAGACCGACCGGCCAGAUUGGGACUGAGACACGGCCCAGACUCCUACGGGAGGCAGCAGUGGGGAAUCUUGCACAAUGGGCGAAAGCCUGAUGCAAGCGACGCCGCGUGCGGGAAGAAGGCCCUCGGGUUGUAAACCGCUUUCAGCAGGGACGAGGCGCAAGUGACGGUACCUGCAGAAGAAGCCCCGGCUAACUACGUGCCAGCAGCCGC
This 494-nucleotide ribosomal RNA is filed under the name uncultured bacterium. Its description in RNAcentral is "bacterial SSU rRNA". It matches the Rfam family "Bacterial small subunit ribosomal RNA", at positions 14 to 518 of the family's 1533-position model. The record is from RNAcentral.